This 253-nucleotide ribosomal RNA is filed under the name uncultured bacterium. RNAcentral's name for it is "partial 16S ribosomal RNA". It matches the Rfam family "Bacterial small subunit ribosomal RNA", at positions 524 to 776 of the family's 1533-position model. The record is from RNAcentral.
GACGGAGGAUGCAAGCGUUAUCCGGAAUUAUUGGGCGUAAAGCGUCCGCAGGUGGCAUUUCAAGUCUGCUGUCAAAGACCGGGGCUUAACCCCAGAAAGGCAGUGGAAACUGAAAAGCUAGAGAUAGGUAGGGGCAGAGGGAAUUCCCAGUGUAGCGGUGAAAGGCGUAGAGAUUGGGAAGAACACCGGUGGCGAAAGCGCUCUGCUGGGCCUUAUCUGACACUCAGGGACGAAAGCUAGGGGAGCGAAUGGG